GAUGAAGAACGCAGUGAAAUGCGAUAAGUAAUGUGAAUUGCAGAAUUCAGUGAAUCAUCGAAUCUUUGAACGUACAUUGCGCCCGCCAGUAUUCUGGCGGGCAUGCCUGUUCGAGCGUCAUUUCAACCAUCAAGCCCCAGGCUUGUGUUGGGGGCCUGCAGCUGCUGCAGCCCCCUAAAAGCAGUGGCGGACUCGCUGUCAUACCGAGCGCAGUAGUUACAUCUCGCUCUGGGCAUGGCGGCGGGCACCUGCCGUAAAACACUCUUUCUAAGGUUGACCUCGGAUCAUGUAGGAAUACCCGCUGAACUUAAGCAUAUCAAUAAGCGGAGGA
RNAcentral lists this unclassified non-coding RNA (331 nucleotides) under soil metagenome. Its description in RNAcentral is "partial contains 5.8S ribosomal RNA, internal transcribed spacer 2, and large subunit ribosomal RNA". The stretch from base 1 to 120 matches the Rfam family "5.8S ribosomal RNA", at positions 35 to 154 of the family's 154-position model. The record is from RNAcentral.